RNAcentral lists this ribosomal RNA (310 nucleotides) under uncultured bacterium. Its description in RNAcentral is "partial 16S ribosomal RNA". It matches the Rfam family "Bacterial small subunit ribosomal RNA", at positions 503 to 809 of the family's 1533-position model. The record is from RNAcentral.
AAGAGACAGCAGUAGCCGCGGUAAUACGGAGGGUGCAAGCGUUAAUCGGAAUUACUGGGCGUAAAGCGCACGCAGGCGGUCUGACAAGUCAGAUGUGAAAUCCCCGGGCUUAACCUGGGAACUGCAUUUGAAACUGUCAGGCUGGAGUCUUGUAGAGGGGGGUGGAAUUCCAGGUGUAGCGGUGAAAUGCGUAGAGAUCUGGAGGAAUACCGGUGGCGAAGGCGGCCCCCUGGACAAAGACUGACGCUCAGGUGCGAAAGCGUGGGGAGCAAACAGGAUUAGAUACCCGAGUAGUCCCUGUCUCUUAUAA